CAGACAGCGUUCCCACUAGAAUCUGACCAUCGUUGUCUGGGCUUCCAGGAUAACCUGGGUGAGCCGCGCUCUCUGGCAUUUCUGGGGCCUGGCUCUUCUCCCUGCUCCGCCAGUGGUUCCCGGGGAAUCAGUCAGAGCCCGGGCUGCGGCCUGGGCAUGAUGAGAUCACGUCCAAGUUUCCCACAGCCCAGCAAUUCGCUCUGACUUGCCCCCCGCGUUAUUGCAACAUCUCGACCCUUCCGAGCUUCAGACCUGCCAGGAAACGGGCAGGGGAUGUGUCACACGGCACCUUCGCAUCUCCUAACGGCGGGUCCCACGGCUGCUGACGCAGAUGGAAGAGAAACUCGGAGGAGAUGCCGUCCCAGAUGUAAAGGGGUGAACUCUCUCUUCCUCUGACCUCGACAGAAGUCCGAGGAGGAAGACUCAACUCUCUCUUACCUAAAGGCCCGGUGCCCACGGCAGCGCUCAGCGUAUCCACGCCGCGAGAGUUACUGGGCGUUCGCGGCUCGCCUGCGAUUGAGGAAUUCUACGUUCCUCAAGCUGAAGGCCGCUUCGUGCCUCCUGGGCCCUCGGAGAGAUCGGAGGAGUUGGGCCAAGGCCUCCCUCCCUCCCUCCUCCUCCUCACCGCCCUUUUGAGGCUGUACAUUCUGCUUCCCCGACAGACGCAGGAAAGUGGGGUCGUUCUAGAGGGAGACGGAGCCUUCCCCGAUUUAGGAACACAGGUGUUGGCCCCGCCGGGGCCAAAGGCUCCCGCGUCUCUAGGAGCUCCUGGGAGGAAAUUCAUCUGAAAUGUGCUCACCCUCCCUGGUGGGGAACGGGGCUGUGGGCGAGGCAGCCCAUGCGGGCAGGCGGCCCUUACACAGGCUUUCCAGAAAGAGCUGGAAAGCAGAUACCCGAGCCACAGGAAAAAGAAUGACCUCUUGCAGCCAAGAGCCUGACUGGAAAGUCCGCGUAAAGGACACCUGGAGGAAGUGGGGGGCUCCAUCACCUCCUCCGCCCGCCCAUAACCCUUUCUUCCUCACUCGGCCACCCCGCACAUCCGCCUUCCCGGAGGCUCACCCCAUCUUUGCCGUUCGAGAGCUCACUGGGUUCUCCCAACACAUCAGAGCUUUUUUUUUUCUUUUCCCUUUUUCUUUUCUUUCUUUUUUUUUUUUUUUUUUUUUCAUCUUGUUUGAAAAGCCUUUUGUGAGGUUGGGAGUGACCCAAAAGUCGCCUCUCUAUUCCUGUCUGAGGAGAGAGUAUUUCCAGAUCGGAGGCGCGGUCUGCAGGGCCCGGGCCAGGAGUCCAUGAAUACCGGAUUAUGCCUCCUACCCCAGUCUCCUAAGCGUGUGCCAGCCACAGUUCCAGAAUGAACCAUAAGCGGAGAAAAAAAAAAUUUGUGAAUCAAGAGGUUUAUUAUUUUCUCCCAGUAAGGAUUUUGAAACCCAGAUUUCCACAUUUUUAAGGGUUUGAUGUCAUAAAAUUCCCAUGUAUGAUUACAUUUUAAAAAACAGAGUCAUUGUGUGUGUGUGUGUGUUGGAACGUAAGAGGUUUAGCAUACAACUCAGAAAAUGAAUUCCUAAACCCAGAGUUUGAAAGGCACAGACACAACGGGCCAUCGAGCUGGGCAUCUGCUGCAACGAAUCCAUGGGAUGUUAAGUCUGUUGUCCUGGAACCAUCUGGAAAUUAAAUGUUAGUCUUCUGAAAAGAACCGGGACCUCCAAAUGUUGUUGUUACUCUGAGUGCAGUGUAAGCAGGUUUCUAUUUAAAACUUUCACACCGGCUACUUGAAUAUUUCUUGUUCUCCGAAGGGUACCCUCUAUACCUCUUGGAUUCUUUUCCACCUUCCCUUUUCCAUGUUAAUUUGGUUUAAUCCCACCUGCUGGCACGAAGGGAAAGAUAUUUAUAAACAUCAUCUAUAGGGGCACCUGGGUGG
Molecule: long non-coding RNA, 1915 nt
Organism: Lynx canadensis (Canada lynx)
Lineage: Eukaryota; Metazoa; Chordata; Mammalia; Carnivora; Felidae
Exons: 3
Source: RefSeq, a predicted model, not a curated record